RNA transcript from Alosa sapidissima (American shad), 6403 nucleotides. It is a transcript of the gene named histone-lysine N-methyltransferase KMT5B-like, with no coding region annotated. Lineage: Eukaryota; Metazoa; Chordata; Actinopteri; Clupeiformes; Clupeidae. The record is from RefSeq and is a predicted model, not a curated record. The transcript is spliced from 11 exons.
GUAAACCCCACUCUACUGAGCUAGCAGGGAAGCCAAGCUGGCCGUCGGUAGUGGUGUACUGUUUUAGUUUGCCGUGAAACAGUCUGUUUAGAGUAGUACAUAUGUUUGACUAGAGGCUUGUUUUGAAAUAUUAGCUUGAACUUGAGUCGGGAAUUCAUCCAAAUUCACUGAUAUAGGAAGAUUAUCUCUCCACAGUAAACUGAAAGGUUACAGAAGGAAAGCUUGCUAGUUAUUUUUUGGCUUAGCUAACGUUACCCAUGGUAGCCAUGUAACUGUUAGCUAUGCUAACGUUUGUUAGUUCAGAUCAUGCCUGCCUAGCUUCCCAUAGUAUGUGGGUUUAGUUCUAACGUUAACACGGUUGAUUUAACAAGCCGUUUAAGAAUAACGAUAGCAUGUUGAUUAGGCUUUAUGUGAAGGUUUGUCGAGCUCUCAUCUGACGUUAUGAUACGAUGCUAGUAUCUAUAACGUUAGCUUGCGAUAACGUUAAUAUAUUGUGUCGUGGCAUGGAAAAAAGACAGGCAUUGAUUGUCUUUUCAUCAACCAACCAGUACAUUUGCUGACGAGGUUAACGUUAGCACCGGCAAGUAAGAGCAGUUCAAAAGGGCUCUUAUGUGGAACAAGUUAGCUAAGCUUCCAUUACCACAGUGUUAAUAACCUAACCCAAACUAAUCGGUGGUUAAGUUUUUCGUUAGCUGCUGGCCGUGGUGCUGGAAGAGGGUUUAAUUAGCUAGGGAUAUCCAGCUGAUUGAGCCGAAUCCCCUUGAUGGAACGACAACUCGUUAGCAGGCAGUGCCCCCUGGACCCCGGCCAGCCCCAGCAGCUCCCUCUCCUGCUGGCCUAGAUGCCCCAGGCCCAGGCUGGCGGCCGGAGUGACGCGGUUGGGCGAAGCCGAGACCAUGGUCCUGAAUGGCAGGCGGCAGCAGAGCAGCCGCGUCUCCGGGCAGCAGGCGGGAGGGCAGGCCCGGCCCCCCUCCUCCUCCUCCUCCUCCUCCUCCACCUCCUCCCAGCGCCCCCAGCUACGCCACAGCAGGAGCUCCCCCAGCACACGGAGGGCCAGCCGCAGCCGCAGGUUGGGUGCGGGGGCUCUUGAGGGGGAGCGGCGCCAUGCUCCGUCCUCGGCGAUGAAGGCCAGGGAGCUGUGUGAGAAUGACGACCUGUCCACCUGCCUCAUCGUCGACCCCUACCUGGGCUUCCAGACUCACAAGAUGAACCCAAGGUUUCGGCCAAUCAAAGGCAGACAGGAGGAACUGAAGGAUGUGAUUGAGCGCUUCAAGAAGCACGACAACCUGGAGAAAGCCUUCAAGGCCCUGACGGCAGGAGACUGGACCCGCAGCCACCUCCAGCACAAGAGCAAAGCCCAGGAGAAACUCUUCAAAGAGCACGUAUUUGUUUACUUGCGCAUGUUUGCAACCAACAGCGGGUUCGAGAUUUUACCCUGUAACCGCUACUCGUCAGAGAUGAACGGAGCCAAAAUAGUUGCAACUAAAGAGUGGAAGCGUAAUGAUAAGAUUGAGUAUCUGGUGGGCUGCAUCGCCGAGAUGUCUGCCAGCGAGGAGAAGAACCUGCUGCGGCACGGCGAGAACGACUUCAGCGUCAUGUACUCCACACGCAAGAACUGCGCUCAGCUGUGGCUGGGGCCCGCUGCAUUUAUUAACCAUGACUGCCGGCCAAACUGUAAGUUCGUCUCCACAGGCAGAGACUCAGCGUGUGUCAAAGUUCUCCGAGAUAUCGAGCCAGGCGAAGAAAUCUCUUGUUACUAUGGAGACGGCUUCUUUGGGGACAACAAUGAGUAUUGUGAAUGCUACACCUGUGAAAGACGAGGCACGGGCGCGUUUAAGUCGAAGGCUGGUCUACCGGUGGCAGCUCCGGUCAUCAACAGCAAGUACGCCCUGCGGGAGACGGACCGCCGACUCAACCGGCUCAAGAAGAUGGGCGAGAGCAGCCAGCACUCAGACACACACUCCGUUGGCUCGCACACUGACGCUGAGACUCAGGAAUCACCACAGACACACUCAUCAGCGCAGAAACGCUUCCCCAGCCCCGGCCUGAAGCUGAGCCGGACCCGCAGCAGAACCCAAACACGACAGAACCAGAACUCUCUGUCCAAACCUCCCAGCUCUACCUCACCCGCCAAAGCUGCGACGGUACCCCCAACCACCAGCAGCAGCAGCAGCAACAGUGGGCGUCGGCUGUCCAAGAGGCACCAUCGCUCCCGGUCCAAACGGGCCCCCCACCCCACCGCUCCGGCCCCCACCCCCACCAGCGUCCGGCUGCGCAGCCAAGGCCGCGCGCGAGGCGGGGGCCAGCACAAGACCCCCCCGGCACCCCCGAGGGCCACCCGACUGACGCUCUGCCACAGCAUCAAGCAGGAGGCGCUGGAGCUGGAGCUGGGGGUGGGGGCCGAGCGCGCCUGCGGCUACAGGACUCGUAGGCUGACGCGCACGCUCCUGAAGGAGCAGCAGGAGGCAGCCGACAGGGCGGAGGGUGGGGAGGUCGUGGGGUCAGGGGUCAAACACGAGCCCCACGUUCCGGACACCACGCACCUGGGCGGGAUCGUCAUCAAGACAGAGCCCGCGGACAUGGAGGAGUACCUCCAGCACGGCUCAGGUGUGGCCCCGCCCAGCCAGGACCUCCCAGCCAAUCACAGCAUGCAGGCAGCGCCACGACGGCUGACCCGUCUGCGAUCUGAUAGGACAGUCAAACAGGAAGAGGAGGGGACUCUUUGCCCUCCAACGUUCCCCCCUACAAAGUCUUGCCCCUCCCCUUCCCCGAGCCCUGGGGCGCUCAGCCAAUCAGUCAUUUCGAAAGACUUGAAUCACCGCGGAAACGGUGCUUCGUCGAGUCGCAAGGGGAAGAAGAAGCGCAAGCACCGCUUGGUUCGCUACGACGCGCUGCUCAUCGAGGACAGCAGCGGCAUCCCCAAGCUUACCCUGCGUCGCCGCAACGAUAGCGGCAGUGGGCGGCGGAAGAGUCGGAAGGCCUCAGCGAGCGCGUCAACCUCUCAGAAGAGCCCCCGCCGACCUGCCUCCCCCUCCUCCUCCUCGUCCAAAAUCAGCAUCAAGUUCCGCAAGAAGCGCCACGCCGGCUGGGGCGGCGCCUACGUGGCACACCUCAACAACGGCUUCGGCCCCAACGGCAGCGCCGUCGCCCACGGCAACCACACCAAGCUGAAGAUCCAGCUGAAACGCGAGGAGGAGGAGCAGCAGGUGACGCAGUCGCACACGGCACUUGGCCCCGCCCCCACCACACGCCCCGCGCUCAGUGGCAGCACGCCACCUGUAGGCACCAGAGAGCUGCUGCAGCAGCAACAGCAGCAGCAGCAACGCGACUCCCGCGGCAGCAGGAAACACCGUGCCCACCCGCCCCCUGCCCCUACGCUCUCCUCCUCCUCUUCAGAGGAAGAAGAGGAGGAGGAGGAAGAUGAGGAGGAUGCUGACGACUUUGACGACUUCUUCCCAUUGCCGGCGCCAAAGCGCCUGCGGCUGAUCUUGGGGAAGGAUUCCAUCGACAUUGACAUCUCCUCCAGGAGGAGACAGGACCAGGCGCUCCGCCUCCACACCUGACAUCGCCCCCUCAUGGGUCACAUGACUCCAGCAGGGGCCCUCGGUGCUUAGCACCACCCACAAUCAGCCCCACAGGUCGUGGAAGAUGACCUUUCACAUGCUGAUGUAAGAGGGAAAUGGGAUGUCAAAGGAAGACCGGGUCCAGAGAUGCCCCAUCACCACCCCCACGGUGCUGGAGUGUGUGAGGGCUUUGUGUUCCCAAGACAUAUCCCCCUCCCCACCCUCCCCAUCACAUUCUUACACACACACACACACACACACACACACACACACACACAGGCAGAGUCAGCUCAGACACUACGCGGUACAGGUUGAGGCGUGCUGACGCACAGACACGCACACACGUGACUCCUGUGUGGUCAGUAGGACCCGCACCAAUGAAUAAAUAAAUAUAAAUAAAUCAAUAAAUAUAAUGUGUAUGAGGACACAUGCCAGUACAUCUCUAGCGGCGGUGUAGCAGUGCCCAGACAAGUCUUAGCUAGCAUCACAGAUUGAUUUAGAACUUUCUGAUGGGCACUGUGUGUCUUCUCUGUGGUCCAGAUGACCGGAUCAGCCCUCUUAUCACAUCAUGCAUUUAUAAUAGCCAUGCCUUUUUGAUCGCAUGCGGCAGAUAUGUUGAAAAACUCACCCUCAAAGGACUCGUAUCAAGGAGAAAAUUGGUACACACACACGUUUGGAAUGGUAAUGCUCUUGGAUAUGUCUGAGGGAAUGCAAAGCCCACUGGCACACCCAAACACACUACACACACUACACACACAGGACUCCAAUGGUGCUGUUGGAUAUAUGAUAAUGAACAUGCACACACGGGAGUCAUAGUGGUGCUGUUAGACAUGUACACCUCACACACACACACUCAGCAGGGUGUGACAGCUGACUGAACCCCUCAGACUGUGUGUGUGCGCGAGAGUGAAUUGGUAAAUGAAAACUGUCACGCUGCAUUCUGGUCUGAAAGCUGAAAGGAACCCAAACCUAUGUAGAAAGACAAACAGUACUGGGAGUUGUUGUUGUUGUUCUGUAUAUGGUAUAUCAUUUUGGAUGUUUUUUUUUUUUAUGCCACCAAUUCCAGGAAAAGUGUUUGUUUUACCUGCUGAAGUAACUUAGACUGGUGCAUCUCCCUUCGUCUGUUUUACAGAGGUCCUGGCAGCUCACCUCACGGCCCCCAGUCAGUCAGCAUCCACAGCAAUGUGAACCCCCCCCCCCCAGUACAGCUACAGUAAUCAACCACACAGGAAGUGAUGUAAUGUGAACCCCAAGUACAGCUACAGUAUUCACCACACAGGAAGUGAUGUAAUGUGAACCCCCAGUACAGCUACAGUAAUAACCACACAGGAAGUGAUGAAAUGUGAAUCCCCCAGGGUUGACACUAUAACCACCACACAGGAAGUUGUGGUGGUGGUGGUUGUUGGGUCUGGUAGCACCUGCUUUUACUAUCAUGUAUAGCACAACGUGUAUAAUUCAGCCAUGAGUCAUUUUGACGGAGGUCUUUAGAGGGUACAAUAACCCAGUUCUAAUGGAAGAAUCUAGCACAUAGAACACCAAAAUGCUGAAGGUUGGGUUCUGCACAGUUAGUACAGUAUGUGUGUGAGCUUGGACAUAAAGGAACCCACUGCUGUAGAUGUGGUGUAUUCAUGGGCUUAUAUUGUUUCUCUGCAGUCUGACCAUAUCUCAUCAUGAGUCCAGUUGGAAAGUGUACAAGUUCCUAAUCAUAGACCUGUUGGACUGGAACACUACUGGUUUUAAUAUGCAUCUGAGUCCAGUGCGGACGGUUCCGGUUCCGCUCGGAACCCACUGAACUGGAUCUAUAUGGUUUUUAACAGCAUCACACAGCCAUUUCCACACAGCACUUGGUGCCUUAAGCGACUCCGACUCCAGGAUGCGAACAUCAUCUCCAUCUGACAGGACUCAAGCCCCCAGCAUGGGGAAAUCCUCAUUCACUGUCUGGCCACCCAAAACCCUCUCCCCCAUGAUGUGUGUGUGUGUGUGCGUGUGUGCGUGCGUGCGUGCGUGUGUGUGUGUGUCUAUCUGUUUAUGUAUGUGUGCAUGCGCGCGCAUAUUUUUAUGUAUAUGUGUGUGUGUGUAUAUGCUGAAUGUUUGGACCCCUUUCCCCACAUAGCAGCUGCCUGUGGCUCAGGUCCGAUCUCCUGCUGACCCGGUGCUGAUCUGAUGUGGGUCUGGCACUGACCCGCUAUUGGUCCAAUUAGUCUCAGUUCCAGUCCUCAUAUGGUGUGGGCCUGGUGCUGACCCUGGUACCGUGCUGGUCUGGCCCUGUGCUGUUCUGAGUCUGCUGUUAUCUGGGACCUCUGCUUUUUUGCUCACGCCACCAGCAGUAGGCCCUGUGCGUGCGUCCGUGUGUGUGUGCGAGCGAGUGUGUGUGUGUCCAGACCUACGCUGACUCUUGGCCAGGUCAGAGCCGUAUCUCAGCCAGGUCGCCCCCCCCCCCCCUCCGGCUUUACUUGAUCCUCCAGCUGUCCUCUCCAUUGCCCCUGUACAGACGUCUGUGGGAAAGAUCCCUUUUAAAGACUGUGUGAAUAGUUUGCUGACAAACAAGUGUUACAAGGACACAGGUGACACUGACCCAGAGUUUUGAAGAGACAAAACUGUCUUAUUGUGUACAACAUGCGGACAUAUUGUACUUAUUUAACAGUUUUGAAUACUUGAAAGCAAGAUAAAAGUUUCUUUGCGAGAAAAAAAAAAGCAGUCUCCUGUAUUACUAUGUGUAGAGAAAAAAUACUGUGUAUUUGUGGCCUUUUCCAUGCCUCAUUUUUCUCUUGUUGAUGUCCAGCAGGUUCUUUCAAGAGCAAGAUUGGGAAGGGAAAUUGAAACAUAAAUUGGUCACCCAC